GACGAACGCUGGCGGCGUGCUUAACACAUGCAAGUCGAACGGAAAGGCCCUGCUUUUGUGGGGUGCUCGAGUGGCGAACGGGUGAGUAACACGUGAGUAACCUGCCCUUGACUUUGGGAUAACUUCAGGAAACUGGGGCUAAUACCGGAUAGGAGCUCCUGCUGCAUGGUGGGGGUUGGAAAGUUUCGGCGGUUGGGGAUGGACUCGCGGCUUAUCAGCUUGUUGGUGGGGUAGUGGCUUACCAAGGCUUUGACGGGUAGCCGGCCUGAGAGGGUGACCGGCCACAGUGGGACUGAGAUACGGCCCAGACUCCUACGGGAGGCAGGAGGGGGGAAUAUUGCACAAUGGGCGGAAGCCUGAUGCAGCAACGCCGGGUGCGGGAUGACGGCCUUCGGGUUUUAAACCGCUUUCGCCUGUGACGAAGCGUGAGUGACGGUAAUGGGUAAAGAAGCACCGGCUAACUACGUG
Molecule: ribosomal RNA, 468 nt
Filed under: uncultured bacterium
Lineage: Bacteria
Description: partial 16S ribosomal RNA
Rfam family: Bacterial small subunit ribosomal RNA
Source: RNAcentral